Malaclemys terrapin pileata is the source of this 3207-nucleotide long non-coding RNA. RefSeq lists it as uncharacterized. Lineage: Eukaryota; Metazoa; Chordata; Testudines; Emydidae. The transcript has 2 exons. The record is from RefSeq and is a predicted model, not a curated record.
GGACGCAUAGCUCCCGAAUCGCCAGCCCACAGGCGCGGCAAACUGCUCCCAUGGCUACGAGGCAGGAGUGACCUUCAAUCCAGCGUUUGUGUUUGGGAAACUUAUUUGGCUGAUUUGAUUGUACCCUCGCAGCUGGUGUUCACGCGCUCAAGAGAUGGGUUCGUUAUCUUAUGUGCAUGUAUACUGCCUGGCUUUUCUAUGCGCAAGAUUUGUACCAAUGAGAAGCGUUGUAAGCAGGGAAGUGUAAAGAAUAAAAGCCCCAGGAAAAGUUCCUGGAGGUAGAGGGGCUUUUCGGCUACCACAGACCUGGCGUUCUGUUUCCUUUCCUGCGUUGUCACCACAGCUGGUGACCCCGACGUGAUACCCCUCUACUCACCGGCUGGAUAUGCCGAGCGCGCCCGCGGCUGUUUGCCGCCCCUUAUUCAUAAAAGAAGUGCUACCCAAAGACCCUAGCAGCCCUGCCGUUUAUUGAAACAAGGAAACGGAGUCUAUGUAAAGUCCAUCAACGAAAGACUGCUUUGGCUCCACACUGGAAAGGCCCUUUCCAAGUCCUGUUAACCACCAACACUGCUGUGAAGUGCCAAGGACUGCCCACCUGGACCCAUGCUUCUCACUGCAAAAAGACCCCUCCACCUGGAGAGGAUUCUCCAGCUGCUAAUCAGCCUAUUUCUCCUGCUAGCUCUGCUGUGCCUCCUGGACAGCAGGGAAAGAGAACAAGGUGAAGUGCUAGUAACCUCUCCCUUGUCCACUGACAGACCUACUGUUGCUUUGAAUUUUUCUAGAAGAAGCAAAACCAUUACAGGGUGAUGUGCUAGUAACCUCUCCCCUACAUGAUGCUAAACCACACUGUUUCAGGAAAAGAGAAGAAGGAACACUUGCUUAAUUGAAACCAUAAAGUCCAGGAAUUCCUGACUACAAAAGACAUUAAGAAUUGGCCCUGGUGAAGAAGCAAAGAAUUAUACCCUAGCAGAAAGAAACUUGUGGGACCCAUGCUUGGGAACGUGGUAUUGAUUAGAUUUUAAGGUUUAUCUUACAGGCUGCGCCCUGUGUUUUGGAUAAGUCCUUCAGCAUGUAUUGCCCUCCCUAAUUGGAUUUUAAAUGAUAAGUACCAAAGGCACCUUGUUGCCAUUGCCCCUGCCAUCUCCUCUAUUACACUAUUACCCCUGUAACACAUCCAAAUACAGACAAUGACCCAGAAGUUGCUGACAGAGAUGGUAUUGAAUAUCACUGAGGCUGGGAAGGCAUUGCAGUGGGAUCUAGCAUGUUCAGAAAUUCAGGAUUUCCUGAAUGACUAGCUAAUGGCCAUUCGGAAUGAUCUAGAGCAUCAGGCUUGGCCCACUGCCCUUACAGACACAUCAGGAGUACCAUCUGAUCUGCGGCCAUGGAGACAUACUUAGAGACUUUCUGGGUAAAAGUGCAAACGUUCUCAAUGCUCCUUCCAAGCAUAUGGACCGGUUGAAGGGGUGUGGCCUCUCACAUACCGAAUCCUGCUGGGUCCAUGGGGAGGAUGCAUGUGGGAUUGAGUAAUUCACCAAGACAUCUGGGAAAUUAGACUACCUGGUAUGCCCAGUUAAUUUUAGUCAGUGCUCCUGGGAUUACACCUGACAGGACGCUUACUCUUUUAAGCUAAUGAUAGCUGUGUGUAUGUUAAAGCCUCCACAUUGCAAGACAUACAUUUUAAUCUCAUUACCACUGCAGGCAAUCAUAUCAUUUACUGGCCUGCAGAUAGAGUUUUUCAAGUAGCCCUUAGGUUCCAGAUACCCUUUAAUUGGACUAGUUUAGUAUCUGAUUUCAGAAUUUGUUUUCACUGUUACCAGAGAUUCCGAAAAUCUCUGAAGUACAAGGGCAAAUUCACAUGCUUUAUAAUAUAUAUUAAGUUGAAAAGUAUGCUUUCCAGACAGCUUAUAGAGUAUCCAUUUUAUGUACUAAGUAGGAUGUAUUGUGCUUUAUGAUUAAGAUUGUACAACAGCCCCAUUAUAUUAUUGUUAUGGGAAUGUUAUUGCUUGUGUUGCUAUUAGUUAGCUUAGGAUUAUGUUAUCAUUGUUGUAAAAGACAUAAUAAUAGUAAUACCUUUCAUGUUUAUGCUAAUCAUGCAUUGUCAUUACAUCCAAUCAGAACCCCUAAGAUUGAAGCAUCUGAUGUAGAAUUUGAAGUCCAGGGCUUAAUGCAAAUAGAGAUUUAAGAAUGUUUGUUGUACUAGGAAAAUAAAAUAAAAAAAGGGGGGGGGGAGGGGUCGUGGAAGCAGGGAAAGAACUGUCAGAAAAGAACUGCUAUGCAUGACAGUUUGUUAGUAAGAGUCAGGCUAACUGUAACCCUGAUAACGCGAGAUUUGUAGAAGCGAGGAUUGUGUGAGGCGGGUGAGAAAGUACUGUGUGAGAAGUUAUUGUGACCUUGUGUAGAUAAGGUCUAGAAAAUAUUGUAUGUUGGCAAGAGUCAAAACAAGUAAGGAAUUAAGAUAUCAAGAUGGCCUAUGUAUAACAAAAUGCAGCUGUCCCUCAUUAUUUCUGUAAUGAAAAGUAUAAAUGCAAGGUCUGUUAAGUACCUGCCUUGUUCCUGUCUGUAAACCACCCAGCAACAUCUGGGAUGUGAGACAGUGAAAGAAAUGUGCUGUUUUAAGCUUACUGAUAAUAGUUUUGCAUGUAAUAGUAAAUUGAUAUGCUGAAAUGCUAUGCUUAAGCCAUCCGCCAAGACGUUUUUCCUCCUUGGUGAGAUUAUAUCUAGUUAUAGCCACCCUUAGAGUGGAUGAAGACCCUUUUAUAGUAUGGGGUCCUAGUUUUGAUGUUUGAUGUUUUACUUUGCUGCUUUGUUUAAUGUUUACCCAAUCUAGUGACAUUGUGUAUGCUACCCUGCGAGAGUGUUUUGUUUAAACACCGCAUCUAUAAAAUAAAACAGGGGGGGAUGUAGGGACGCAUAGCUCCCGAAUCGCCAGCCCACAGGCGCGGCAAACUGCUCCCAUGGCUACGAGGCAGGAGUGACCUUCAAUCCAGCGUUUGUGUUUGGGAAACUUAUUUGGCUGAUUUGAUUGUACCCUCGCAGCUGGUGUUCACGCGCUCAAGAGAUGGGUUCGUUAUCUUAUGUGCAUGUAUACUGCCUGGCUUUUCUAUGCGCAAGAUUUGUACCAAUGAGAAGCGUUGUAAGCAGGGAAGUGUAAAGAAUAAAAGCCCCAGGAAAAGUUCCUGGAGGUAGAGGGGCUUUUCGGCUACCACA